This 253-nucleotide ribosomal RNA is filed under the name uncultured bacterium. RNAcentral's name for it is "partial 16S ribosomal RNA". It matches the Rfam family "Bacterial small subunit ribosomal RNA", at positions 524 to 776 of the family's 1533-position model. The record is from RNAcentral.
UACAGAGGGGGCAAGCGUUGUUCGGAAUUACUGGGCGUAAAGGGCGCGUAGGCGGCCCGCUAAGUCGAACGUGAAAUCCCUGGGCUCAACCCAGGAACUGCGUCCGAUACUGGUGGGCUCGAAUCCGGGAGAGGGAUGUGGAAUUCCAGGUGUAGCGGUGAAAUGCGUAGAUAUCUGGAGGAACACCGGUGGCGAAGGCGACAUCCUGGACCGGUAUUGACGCUGAGGAGCGAAAGUGUGGGGAGCGAACAGG